Molecule: transfer RNA, 92 nt
Filed under: Nanobdellota archaeon
Lineage: Archaea; Nanobdellati; Nanobdellota
Description: tRNA-Gly
Rfam family: tRNA
About the family: Transfer RNA (tRNA) molecules are approximately 80 nucleotides in length. Their secondary structure includes four short double-helical elements and three loops (D, anti-codon, and T loops).
Source: RNAcentral
GCGCCGGUAGUCUAGUGGUAGGACACCGGCCUUCCAAGCCGGUGACCCGGGUUCGAAAUAAAACCUAAAAGAAAUUCCCGGCCGGCGCACCA